GGGGCUUCUGAUGAAGCUCUGGGUCACCUCCCACCCGUGUUUAUUGUACCUUGUUGCUUCGGUGCGCCCGCCUCACGGCCGCCGGGGGGCUUCUGCCCCCGGGUCCGCGCGCACCGGAGACACCAUUGAACUCUGUCUGAAGAUUGCAGUCUGAGCAUAAACUAAAUAAGUUAAAACUUUCAACAACGGAUCUCUUGGUUCCGGCAUCGAUGAAGAACGCAGCGAAAUGCGAUAACUAAUGUGAAUUGCAGAAUUCAGUGAAUCAUCGAGUCUUUGAACGCACAUUGCGCCCCCUGGUAUUCCGGGGGGCAUGCCUGUCCGAGCGUCAUUGCUGCCCUCAAGCACGGCUUGUGUGUUGGGCUCCGUCCCCCCGGGGACGGGUCCGAAAGGCAGCGGCGGCACCGAGUCCGGUCCUCGAGCGUAUGGGGCUUUGUCACCCGCUCUGUAGGCCCGGCCGGCGCCAGCCGACAACCAAUCAUCCUUUUUUCAGGUUGACCUCGGAUCAGGUAGGGAUACCCGCUGAACUUAAGCAUAUCAAUAAGCGGAGGAA
RNAcentral lists this ribosomal RNA (550 nucleotides) under Penicillium thomii. RNAcentral's name for it is "eukaryotic LSU rRNA". The stretch from base 175 to 328 matches the Rfam family "5.8S ribosomal RNA". The record is from RNAcentral. Lineage: Eukaryota; Fungi; Ascomycota; Eurotiomycetes; Eurotiales; Aspergillaceae.